AGUGAACGCUGGCGGUAGGCCUAACACAUGCAAGUCGAACGGCAGCACAGUAAGAGCUUGCUCUUACGGGUGGCGAGUGGCGGACGGGUGAGGAAUACAUCGGAAUCUACUUUUUCGUGGGGGAUAACGUAGGGAAACUUACGCUAAUACCGCAUACGACCUACGGUUGAAAGCAGGGGAUCUUCGGACCUUGCGCGAUUGAAUGAGCCGAUGUCGGAUUAGCUAGUUGGCGGGGUAAAGGCCCACCAAGGCGACGAUCCGUAGCUGGUCUGAGAGGAUGGUCAGCCACACUGGAACUGAGACACGGUCCAGAGUCCUACGGGAGGCAGCAGUGGGGAAUAUUGGGCAAUGGGCGCAAGCCUGAUCCAGCCAUACCGCGUGGGUGAAGAAGGCCUUCGGGUUGUAAAGCCCUUUUGUUGGGAAAGAAAAGCAGCAGGUUAAUACCCCGCUGUUCUGACGGUACCCAAAGAAUAAGCAACGGCUAACUUCGUG
This 492-nucleotide ribosomal RNA is filed under the name uncultured bacterium. RNAcentral describes it as "partial 16S ribosomal RNA". It matches the Rfam family "Bacterial small subunit ribosomal RNA", at positions 29 to 507 of the family's 1533-position model. The record is from RNAcentral.